AAUGUAAAAACUAAAGAAAUUGGGCUAGAAAAUUGCUGAGACAGAGAUCGAAACUCAUAAAGCAAACCUUUUCAUUUCUGAUUUGGUAAAAGGAAUACUUUUCAUUCAAAAAUGAGUAAAUAUAUUUUUCCUGAAAUUGCACUAGAAAAGAUAAACAUCAGAGAUUCAGCCCAAUUUGGCAACUCCGUACUAUCGGAAUGUUUACCUUUGGAAUCUGUAUGAAUUUGUAAUUAUUUUCGAAAUUAGCGUUACAGGCAGUGUUUCACAGUCUAAAACUUCUGAAAUUUAUUCGAAGAAAGUUUUCAUAAUGGUAAGAUACGGAUAAUUUCAUGAAUUAAAUCCGAAGGAUUCUGUAAAUGGAACACAUUCGUAAGUAUAGGUUAACUUUAUGUUUGUUUUGGUUUUCAGUGUCGACUCAUACCACUGGUUUCAAUUAUAUGGUUUCAAUGGAUAAAUAUUUUUUUUGUUAUAGCCUUCCCAAUCGAGAUUCGAAAUGAUGGGUUUUCUCUUUGAGGUUUGGAAAUUGAUCGGAAAAAUCCUAGAUUCAUUUAUAUAUGCCCGAAUCACUUCAACUGGAUAUAAUUUGUGAUAAGAUUAGUAAACGUUAGCCCAUUGCCCUUCCAACUCCAUACAUUUGAGAGCAAAGAGACUAAGACUUCAAGCACUUCUCUGAUUAAAAGUAUGAGUACUUUAUCAGAGGACACUUUUCCGAAGAGGAAACCUAGGGCAAAAUUAGUUACCAAUUAUUUUGUUGUUAUGAUACCUACAUACAAUAUACAUGAGUAAAACCUCCAGACCCUCCCCAACCUUUUGAAAAGAAGCAUCAGAAGAAAUUGUUCAAUCAGAGAAAAUAUUUACAGAGAAAACAUUGAACCUAAAGUUUCUGCAAUCAAACGAAGUAGAAAAACCUAUGUUUGGGACAUGGCUGAAGAAGAAUUCAGUUCGGAUAAAACAAGGCCAAACUUCAUAUUCAUGAG
This is a long non-coding RNA of Coccinella septempunctata (seven-spotted ladybird), 977 nucleotides long. RefSeq lists it as uncharacterized. The transcript has 4 exons. The record is from RefSeq and is a predicted model, not a curated record. NCBI's taxonomy places the organism in Eukaryota, Metazoa, Arthropoda, Insecta, Coleoptera, Coccinellidae.